UGCGGGGUGGAGCAGCCCGGUAGCUCGUCAGGCUCAUAACCUGGAGGUCAGUGGUUCAAAUCCACUCCCCGCAA
This 74-nucleotide transfer RNA is filed under the name Elusimicrobia bacterium CG1_02_37_114. Its description in RNAcentral is "tRNA-Met". It matches the Rfam family "tRNA". From Rfam's summary of the family: Transfer RNA (tRNA) molecules are approximately 80 nucleotides in length. Their secondary structure includes four short double-helical elements and three loops (D, anti-codon, and T loops). The record is from RNAcentral. RNAcentral also lists the same sequence under 2 other names. Lineage: Bacteria; Pseudomonadati; Elusimicrobiota.